CUCAGGAUGAACGCGUAGCGGGAGGCUUAACACAUGCAAGUCGAGGGGCAGCGCGGAUAGCAAUAUCUGGCGGCGACCGGCGGACGGGUGAGUAACACGUAUGCAACCUGCCCUGCACAGGGGGAUAGCCCGGAGAAAUCCGGAUUAAUACCCCAUGGUUCGCGGAGGCCGCAUGGCCUUUGCGGUAAAGAUUCAUCGGUGCAGGAUGGGCAUGCGUUCCAUUAGCUAGUGGCGGGCAACGGCCCACCAAGGCGACGAUGGAUAUGGGGUCUAAAAGGAUGGUCCCACACAUUGGCACUGAGAUACGGGCCAAACUCCUACGGGAGGCAGCAGUGAGGAAUAUUGGUCAAUGGGCGAGAGCCUGAACCAGCCAUCCCGCGUGCAGGAAUGAAGGUCUUACAGAUUGUAAACUGCUUUUGCAGGGGACGAAUAAGGGGUACGCGUACCCCGAUGACAGUACUCUGUGAAUAAGCAUCGGCUAACUCCGUGCCAGCCGCUGC
Molecule: ribosomal RNA, 500 nt
Filed under: uncultured bacterium
Lineage: Bacteria
Description: bacterial SSU rRNA
Rfam family: Bacterial small subunit ribosomal RNA
Source: RNAcentral